CCUACGGGUGGCUGCAGUGGGGAAUAUUGGACAAUGGGGGCAACCCUGAUCCAGCCAUGCCGCGUGUGUGAAGAAGGCCCUCGGGUUGUAAAGCACUUUCAGUGAGGAAGAACGCCUGGUGGUUAAUACCCAUCAGGAAAGACAUCACUCACAGAAGAAGCACCGGCUAACUCCGUGCCAGCAGCCGCGGUAAUACGGAGGGUGCGAGCGUUAAUCGGAAUUACUGGGCGUAAAGCGCGCGUAGGUGGCUUGAUAAGCCGGUUGUGAAAGCCCCGGGCUCAACCUGGGAACGGCAUCCGGAACUGUCAAGCUAGAGUGCAGGAGAGGAAGGUAGAAUUCCCGGUGUAGCGGUGAAAUGCGUAGAGAUCGGGAGGAAUACCAGUGGCGAAGGCGACCUUCUGGACUGACACUGACACUGAGGUGCGAAAGCGUGGGUAGCAAACAGGAUUAGAUACCCGAGUAGUC
Molecule: ribosomal RNA, 465 nt
Filed under: Vreelandella stevensii
Lineage: Bacteria; Pseudomonadati; Pseudomonadota; Gammaproteobacteria; Oceanospirillales; Halomonadaceae
Description: partial 16S ribosomal RNA
Rfam family: Bacterial small subunit ribosomal RNA
Source: RNAcentral